CAAGAAGUAGUUUAAAAAGAAUAUGAGCUUUGGAAGCUUACGGUGUAAUAUAUUAUUUUCUUGA
This 64-nucleotide transfer RNA is filed under the name Lepidurus apus lubbocki. RNAcentral's name for it is "tRNA-Pro". The record is from RNAcentral. Lineage: Eukaryota; Metazoa; Arthropoda; Branchiopoda; Notostraca; Triopsidae.